Molecule: ribosomal RNA, 658 nt
Filed under: Salmonella enterica
Lineage: Bacteria; Pseudomonadati; Pseudomonadota; Gammaproteobacteria; Enterobacterales; Enterobacteriaceae
Also listed under: 1 other name
Description: partial 23S ribosomal RNA
Rfam family: Bacterial large subunit ribosomal RNA
Source: RNAcentral
ACGGUUAACGGAGCGAAAGCGACGUUCAACCGCAAAACAAGCAGAGGGGGCUUAGUGGUGGGGUGACUGCGUACCUUUUGUAUAAUGGGUCAGCGACUUAUAUUCUGUAGCAAGGUUAACCGAAUAGGGGAGCCGGAGGGAAACCGAGUCUUAAUUGGGCGUUAAGUUGCAGGGUAUAGACCCGAAACCCGGUGAUCUAGCCAUGGGCAGGUUGAAGGUUGGGUAACACUAACUGGAGGACCGAACCGACUAAUGUUGAAAAAUUAGCGGAUGACCUGUGGCUGGGGGUGAAAGGCCAAUCAAACCGGGAGAUAGCUGGUUCUCCCCGAAAGCUAUUUAGGUAGCGCCUCGUGAAUUCAUCUCCGGGGGUAGAGCACUGUUUCGGCUAGGGGGCCAUCCCGGCUUACCAACCCGAUGCAAACUGCGAAUACCGGAGAAUGUUAUCACGGGAGACACACGGCGGGUGCUAACGUCCGUCGUGAAGAGGGAAACAACCCAGACCGCCAGCUAAGGUCCCAAAGUCAUGGUUAAGUGGGAAACGAUGUGGGAAGGCCCAGACAGCCAGGAUGUUGGCUUAGAAGCAGCCAUCAUUUAAAGAAAGCGUAAUAGCUCACUGGUCGAGUCGGCCUGCGCGGAAGAUGUAACGGGGCUAAACCAU